UACGUAGGGGGCAAGCGUUGUCCGGAUUUACUGGGCGUAAAGCGUGCGCAGGCGGUUUUGUAAGCCAGAUGUGAAAUCCCCGGGCUCAACCUGGGAAUGGCAUUUGGGACUGCAAGGCUUGAGUGCGGCAGAGGAGACUGGAAUUCCUGGUGUAGCAGUGAAAUGCGUAGAUAUCAGGAGGAAUACCGAUGGCGAAGGCAGGUCUCUGGGCUGACACUGACGCUCAUGCACGAAAGCGUGGGGAGCAAACAGG
This 253-nucleotide ribosomal RNA is filed under the name uncultured bacterium. RNAcentral describes it as "partial 16S ribosomal RNA". It matches the Rfam family "Bacterial small subunit ribosomal RNA", at positions 524 to 776 of the family's 1533-position model. The record is from RNAcentral.